UGGUGGAAUUGGCAGUGUUGAGUUAAUGGCUGGACUCGAUGGUCUUAGAGGGUUUUCCAGCUAAAAUUUCAUGUUUUUAUGGAU
This is a non-coding RNA of Sturnus vulgaris (Common starling), 84 nucleotides long. NCBI's taxonomy places the organism in Eukaryota, Metazoa, Chordata, Aves, Passeriformes, Sturnidae. The record is from RefSeq and is a predicted model, not a curated record.